This 495-nucleotide ribosomal RNA is filed under the name uncultured bacterium. RNAcentral describes it as "partial 16S ribosomal RNA". It matches the Rfam family "Bacterial small subunit ribosomal RNA", at positions 28 to 507 of the family's 1533-position model. The record is from RNAcentral.
GACGAACGCUGACGGCGUGCCUAAUACAUGCAAGUAGAACGCUGAAGGAGGAGCUUGCUCUUCUGGAUGAGUUGCGAACGGGUGAGUAACGCGUAGGUAACCUGCCUGGUAGCGGGGGAUAACUAUUGGAAACGAUAGCUAAUACCGCAUAAGAGUAGAUGUUGCAUGACAUUUACUUAAAAGGUGCAAUUGCAUCACUACCAGAUGGACCUGCGUUGUAUUAGCUAGUUGGUGGGGUAACGGCUUACCAAGGCGACGAUACAUAGCCGACCUGAGAGGGUGAUCGGCCACACUGGGACUGAGACACGGCCCAGACUCCUACGGGAGGCAGCAGUAGGGAAUCUUCGGCAAUGGACGGAAGUCUGACCGAGCAACGCCGCGUGAGUGAAGAAGGUUUUCGGAUCGUAAAGCUCUGUUGUAAGAGAAGAACGAGUGUGAGAGUGGAAAGUUCACACUGUGACGGUAUCUUACCAGAAAGGGACGGCUAACUACGUG